CUUGACCUCAAAUCGAGUAGGACUACCCGCUGAACUUAAGCAUAUCAAUAAGCGGAGGAAAAGAAACUAACAAGGAUUCCCCUAGUAACGGCGAGUGAAGAGGGAAGAGCUCAAAUUUUGAAUCUGGCGUCUCUGGCGUCCGAAUUGUAAUCUAGAGAAGUGUUUUCCGUGACGGACCGUGCACAAGUCUCCUGGAAUGGAGCGUCAUAGAGGGUGAGAAUCCCGUAUAUGGCAUGGACUCCCGUUGCUCUGUGAUACACUCUCGACGAGUCGAGUUGUUUGGGAAUGCAGCUCUAAAUGGGUGGUAAAUGCCAUCUAAAGCUAAAUAUUGGCGAGAGACCGAUAGCGAACAAGUACCGUGAGGGAAAGAUGAAAAGCACUUUGGAAAGAGAGUGAAACAGUACGUGAAAUUGUUGAAAGGGAAACGCUUGAAGUCAGUCGCGCCGUUCGGGAUUCAGCCUUGCUUCUGCUCGGUUUACUUCCCGUUGGGUGGGUCAACAUCAGUUUCGAUCGGAGGAGAAAGGCCUGGGGAAGGUAGCAGCAUUCGUGCUGUGUUAUAGCCCCUUGUUGUAUACUUCGAUUGGGACUGAGGAUCGCAGCACGCCUCUGGCCGGGGUUCGCCCACGUACGUGCUUAGGAUGUUGGCAUAAUGGCUUUAAGCGACCCGUCUUGAAACACGGAC
Molecule: ribosomal RNA, 682 nt
Filed under: uncultured endomycorrhiza of Neottia nidus-avis
Lineage: Eukaryota; Fungi; Basidiomycota; Agaricomycetes; Sebacinales; Sebacinaceae
Description: eukaryotic LSU rRNA
Rfam family: Eukaryotic large subunit ribosomal RNA
Source: RNAcentral